GUGUCAGCAGCCGCGGUAACACGGGGGGAGCAAGCGUUGUUCGGAAUCACUGGGCGUAAAGGGUGUCUAGGCGGUCAAGUGAGUGAGAUGUGAAAUGCCCCGGCUCACCCGGGGACCGGCAUCUCAUACUGCUUGGCUCGAGUGCGGGAGAGGAUGAGGGAAUUCCUGGUGUAGCGGUGAAAUGCGUAGAUAUCAGGAGGAACACCGGUGGCGAAAGCGCUCAUCUGGCCCGACACUGACGCUGAAGCACGAAAGCUAGGGGAGCAAACGGGAUUAGAUACCCUCGUAGUCC
RNAcentral lists this ribosomal RNA (292 nucleotides) under uncultured bacterium. Its description in RNAcentral is "partial 16S ribosomal RNA". It matches the Rfam family "Bacterial small subunit ribosomal RNA", at positions 505 to 796 of the family's 1533-position model. The record is from RNAcentral.